CAUGCAAGUCGAACGGCAGCAUAGGAGCUUGCUCCUGAUGGCGAGUGGCGAACGGGUGAGUAAUAUAUCGGAACGUGCCCUAGAGUGGGGGAUAACUAGUCGAAAGAUUAGCUAAUACCGCAUACGAUCUACGGAUGAAAGUGGGGGAUCGCAAGACCUCAUGCUCCUGGAGCGGCCGAUAUCUGAUUAGCUAGUUGGUGGGGUAAAAGCUCACCAAGGCGACGAUCAGUAGCUGGUCUGAGAGGACGACCAGCCACACUGGGACUGAGACACGGCCCAGACUCCUACGGGAGGCAGCAGUGGGGAAUUUUGGACAAUGGGGGCAACCCUGAUCCAGCAAUGCCGCGUGAGUGAAGAAGGCCUUCGGGUUGUAAAGCUCUUUUGUCAGGGAAGAAACGGUUCGAGCUAAUAUCUCGGGCUAAUGACGGUACCUGAAGAAUAAGCACCGGCUAACUACGUGCCAGCAGCCGCGGUAAUACGUAGGGUGCAAGCGUUAAUCGGAAUUACUGGGCGUAAAGCGUGCGCAGGCGGUUAU
Molecule: ribosomal RNA, 535 nt
Filed under: Herbaspirillum sp. Z2NS-255
Lineage: Bacteria; Pseudomonadati; Pseudomonadota; Betaproteobacteria; Burkholderiales; Oxalobacteraceae
Description: bacterial SSU rRNA
Rfam family: Bacterial small subunit ribosomal RNA
Source: RNAcentral